This 277-nucleotide ribosomal RNA is filed under the name uncultured bacterium. RNAcentral describes it as "partial 16S ribosomal RNA". It matches the Rfam family "Bacterial small subunit ribosomal RNA", at positions 28 to 307 of the family's 1533-position model. The record is from RNAcentral.
GAUAAACGCUGGCGGCGUGCCUAACACAUGCAAGUCGAACGUCCUCUCUCGCAAGAGAGAGGGAGUGGCGGACGGGUGAGUAACACAUGGGUCACCUACCCUUAAGUGAGGAAUACCGGCGAGAAAUCGCCGACAAGACCGCAUAGGCUCUCUCUCUUGCAAGAGAGAGCAAAGCUUCGCAAGAGGCGCUUGAGGAUGGGCCUGUGGCCGAUUAGCUGGNGGUAGGGUAAUGGCUUACCAAGGCGACGAUCGGUAGCUGGUCUGAGAGGACGAUCAG